CAGAUACCACCCUAGCCUUCUCAU
RNAcentral lists this transfer RNA (24 nucleotides) under Aspidoscelis gularis. RNAcentral's name for it is "partial tRNA-Ala". Lineage: Eukaryota; Metazoa; Chordata; Lepidosauria; Squamata; Teiidae. The record is from RNAcentral.